GCACUAGCUGUACUGAGGAAAAGCCACUCUACAAGCUAAAGGAAACCGUUUAUGCUUCUGCAGAGUAAGACCAAAAGUAAAGAAUGUAAUGCACUGGGGUGUCUUGCACUUUAAAACAGAAUAUUCCCCCCCCCCCAAAAGGAGUCUUAUUUGUGUGCAGUGGAGCAUCUCAAGCCAAUGGGAUAAAGUGAAUCAGUGCAAUUAG
This 205-nucleotide long non-coding RNA is filed under the name Numida meleagris (helmeted guineafowl). Its description in RNAcentral is "lncRNA (ENSNMEG00000020990.1)". Lineage: Eukaryota; Metazoa; Chordata; Aves; Galliformes; Numididae. The record is from RNAcentral.